RNAcentral lists this ribosomal RNA (510 nucleotides) under uncultured bacterium. RNAcentral's name for it is "partial 16S ribosomal RNA". It matches the Rfam family "Bacterial small subunit ribosomal RNA", at positions 28 to 507 of the family's 1533-position model. The record is from RNAcentral.
GACGAACGCUGGCGGCGUGCUUAACACAUGCAAGUCGAACGAAGAGCGAUGGAAGCUUGCUUCUAUCAAUCUUAGUGGCGAACGGGUGAGUAACGCGUAAUCAACCUGCCCUUCAGAGGGGGACAACAGUUGGAAACGACUGCUAAUACCGCAUACGAUCUAAUCUCGGCAUCGAGGAUAGAUGAAAGGUGGCCUCUACAUGUAAGCUAUCACUGAAGGAGGGGAUUGCGUCUGAUUAGCUAGUUGGAGGGGUAACGGCCCACCAAGGCGAUGAUCAGUAGCAGGUCUGAGAGGAUGAACGGCAACAUUGGGACUGAGACACGGCCCAGACUCCUACGGGAGGCAGCAGUGGGGAAUCUUCCGCAAUGGACGAAAGUCUGACGGAGCAACGCCGCGUGAGUGAUGACGGCCUUCGGGUUGUAAAGCUCGGUUAAUCGGGACGAAAGGCCUUCUUGCGAAUAGUGAGAAGGAUUGACGGUACCGGAAGAGAAAGCCACGGCUAACUACGUG